UACAGAGGUCUCAAGCGUUGUUCGGAUUCAUUGGGCGUAAAGGGUGCGUAGGCGGCGCGGUAAGUCGGGUGUGAAAUCUUGGAGCUUAACUCCAGAACUGCCUUUGAUACUGAAGAUCUCGGGUCCGGGGGAGGUGAGUGGAACUGCGAGUGUAGAGGUGAAAUUCGUAGAUAUUCGCAAGAACACCAGUGGCGAAGGCGGCUCACUGGCCCGGUACUGACGCUGAGGUGCGAAAGCGUGGGGAGCAAACAGG
RNAcentral lists this ribosomal RNA (253 nucleotides) under uncultured bacterium. RNAcentral describes it as "partial 16S ribosomal RNA". It matches the Rfam family "Bacterial small subunit ribosomal RNA", at positions 524 to 776 of the family's 1533-position model. The record is from RNAcentral.